CGGCGGGAGCGCGGGGCUCAGGGCCAGGGCCCGCCUCCAGGGGGCGGUGUGCGCCCCCGGCGCUGGAGCAGCCGCGUUUCGGGGACCCGGGCAGGCGUGGGGGGCUGCGCUGAGCUCCAGGCCUCCUGCAGGUGCAAUAAGAAUCGUAUUACUAAUGUGGUGUCCUCUGGAAUGGUCACAUGAACACAGUUCCCUGCAGAUGUAAUUGGGAGAGAAGGCACAGUCCUGACACAGGGUAAGACUGUGGAGGUGUAUUGCUGUCCCUACCAGCUGUGCCUUAACUUCCUCGAAAGACAACAUCAGUGCUGGCGGGCCUCAAGAAGAGCCAUCCCAAGGUAUUGACUAGGCAUCAGCGUCUUCACCAGGGCAACACAGAACAUCCCUGCAGAGUUCCUGGUGGCUGCAGUGGCUGGUAGGGGAUGUAUGCCUGCUUUCCAUCAGAUUCCCAAAGCGGAGCCCCUGGAGGCUUUGGCCCAUGGCCCUGAAGCUCCCUUUCACAAGGAAGAAAGACUUUGCAAAGCCAACACCACUAUUGGAGAGAAAGUGGAGAAUGUGUAUUAGAAGUACUAGUCUUUGAAGGCAAAACAGCUGUAUAGAGUGAGCUUAAGUGCUGGAUCCCUGUGGUUAGGAAGGGACACUAAGCCUCCGGGAUGUGAGAGUCCCAUGGAAGGCAGUAGGCCCAGGAUAAAGCAGGUGUCAGCUCAGAAAGCCCACCAUCACCCAGAAAAGGGAAGAAAUACGCUACCACCAUCACUCUUUCUGCCAAUGACUUCUUUGCACACCUCCACCCUAUCUCCUGGCUCAGUCUCCCAUGUUCUCAUAGCUAGGGAGGUCUCCAUUGUAAUUUGUAUGGGGAGGUUAACCUAUAGGCCAUUCUGAUGAUCCCAGCUCCCUUUCACUACAACCCCCGUCUGCAUCCUUUGCUUUGCAGUAGGAUUUGAGAGAGGAAGGAUGAAGAUGUAGCCACAGGAUACAUUUAAACAGGCACAGAGUUUGAGGGGUGGGGGGGAACAAAAGCAAAACAAUAAAACCUUCACCAGUCAUUAAAGAAAUGAAAAUGAACCUUUUGAGAUUGUCAAUUUUUAUCUGCUAAGUCAAGAAAAGCUAAUUUAAUUCCUGGCAAUUUCACAAUAAAAAAAAUUGUGCUAGCUCUUGGUGGCAUUGUAAGUAGUUAAAGGCUUUUUGGGAAGUAAUUUGAAAUACAUCAAGUCUUGAAAAUGAUUAUACCAGUGGAUCCAAUCAUCUCGCUGGUGGAAAUUCAUCUGAAGGAAAUGAUUCAGUGGAAAAAACAACCCGUCUACACUUGUUGCACCUAAAUGUCCAGGAAUAAGGGAAUGACAGAAGAAAUCUCAGCACAUUCUCUGAAUGGAACAGAAACCGAGCGUUUGGAACUAGAAUUGCGCAGACUGAAUUGAAUAUGGAAGUGGCUUUAAAUGGCAUGUUAGGUGGAAACACUGGAUGUCUGGUUGAAAUUUGGUAAGACACACAUUCCCAUGGUCAGAAUCGGAAAAUUUCAACAAAUGAAAAUCAUGGGGUUCACAAAGAGGUGUUGUG
This 1554-nucleotide long non-coding RNA is filed under the name Homo sapiens (human). Its description in RNAcentral is "HSALNT0331655". The record is from RNAcentral. Lineage: Eukaryota; Metazoa; Chordata; Mammalia; Primates; Hominidae.